GUGCUGGAUGAUGUGUGUGUGUGAGUGCUGGAUGAUGGGUGUGUGUGCUGGAUGAUGUGUGUGUGUGUGCUGGAUGAUGUGUGUGCUGGAUGAUGUGUGUGAGUGCUGGAUGAUGGGUGUUUGUGUGAGUGCUGGAUGAUGGGUGUGUGAGUGCUGGAUGAUGGGUGUUUGUGUGAGUGCUGGAUGAUGGGUGUUUGUGUGAGUGCUGGAUGAUGGGUGUGUGAGUGCUGGAUGAUGGGUGUGUGAGUGAUGGAUGAUGUGUGUGUGUGUGCUGGAUGAUGGGUGUGUGAGUGAUGGAUGAUGGGUGUGUGUGUGCUGGAUGAUGUGUGUGUGUGUGCUGGAUGAUGGGUGUGUGUGUGCUGGAUGAUGGGUCUGUGUGUGCUGGAUGAUGGGUGUGUGAGUGCUGGAUGAUGGGUGUUUGUGUGCUGGAUGAUGGGUGUGUGUGUGCUGGAUGAUGGGUGUGUGAGUGCUGG
Molecule: non-coding RNA, 473 nt
Organism: Pelobates cultripes (western spadefoot toad)
Lineage: Eukaryota; Metazoa; Chordata; Amphibia; Anura; Pelobatidae
Source: the annotation of a GenBank genome assembly